This 443-nucleotide ribosomal RNA is filed under the name uncultured bacterium. RNAcentral's name for it is "SSU rRNA". It matches the Rfam family "Bacterial small subunit ribosomal RNA", at positions 26 to 518 of the family's 1533-position model. The record is from RNAcentral.
AGAACGAACGCUGGCGGCAGGCUUAACACAUGCAAGUCGAGCGCCCCGCAAGGGGAGCGGCAGACGGGUGAGUAACGCGUGGGAACAUACCCUCCGGUUCGGAAUAGCUCAGGGAAACUUGGAUUAAUACCGGAUACGGCCUAGCGGCGAAAGAUUGAUCGCCGGAGGAUUGGCCCGCGUCUGAUUAGCUAGUUGGUGGGGUAAUGGCCCACCAAGGCGACGAUCAGUAGCUGGUCUGAGAGGAUGAUCAGCCACAUUGGGACUGAGACACGGCCCAAACUCCUACGGGAGGCAGCAGUGGGGAAUAUUGGACAAUGGGCGCAAGCCUGAUCCAGCCAUGCCGCGUGAGUGAUGACGGCCUUAGGGUUGUAAAGCUCUUUUGUGCGGGAAGAUAAUGACGGUACCGCAAGAAUAAGCCCGGCUAACUUCGCGCCAGCAGCCGC